CGUCUCAGUUCGGAUUGCAGGCUGCAACUCGCCUGCAUGAAGUCGGAAUUGCUAGUAAUCGCGGAUCAGCAUGCCGCGGUGAAUACGUUCCCGGGCCUUGUACACACCGCCCGUCACACCAUGAGAGCCGGGAACACCCGAAGUCCGUAGUCUAACCAUUAAGGAGGACGCGGCCGAAGGUGGGUUUGGUAAUUGGGGUGAAGUCGUAACAAGGUACC
RNAcentral lists this ribosomal RNA (218 nucleotides) under uncultured bacterium. RNAcentral describes it as "partial 16S ribosomal RNA". It matches the Rfam family "Bacterial small subunit ribosomal RNA", at positions 1284 to 1500 of the family's 1533-position model. The record is from RNAcentral.